GAUGAACGCUGGCGGCAUGCCUUACACAUGCAAGUCGAACGGUAACAGGUCUUCGGAUGCUGACGAGUGGCGAACGGGUGAGUAAUACAUCGGAACGUGCCUAGUAGUGGGGGAUAACUACUCGAAAGAGUGGCUAAUACCGCAUGAGAUCUACGGAUGAAAGCAGGGGAUCGCAAGACCUUGUGCUACUAGAGCGGCCGAUGGCAGAUUAGGUAGUUGGUGGGAUAAAAGCUUACCAAGCCGACGAUCUGUAGCUGGUCUGAGAGGACGAUCAGCCACACUGGGACUGAGACACGGCCCAGACUCCUACGGGAGGCAGCAGUGGGGAAUUUUGGACAAUGGGCGAAAGCCUGAUCCAGCAAUGCCGCGUGCAGGAUGAAGGCCUUCGGGUUGUAAACUGCUUUUGUACGGAACGAAAAGCCCCGGGUUAAUACCCUGGGGUCAUGACGGUACCGUAAGAAUAAGCACCGGCUAACUACGUGUCAGCAGCCGCCGUAA
RNAcentral lists this ribosomal RNA (498 nucleotides) under uncultured bacterium. RNAcentral's name for it is "partial 16S ribosomal RNA". It matches the Rfam family "Bacterial small subunit ribosomal RNA", at positions 28 to 523 of the family's 1533-position model. The record is from RNAcentral.